GGAAGUGCAUACUGUAGUGCUGUGCAUGGGCCUGAUGUGUUGCAUUUGUUUUGUCUUGUCCAGAGAGUGAUGGAACUAGAAGCAGAUGCAAUGGGACAUGAACUACUUUUUGUAGAUGAGGCCGGUUUUAACCUCAGUAAAACCAGGAGACGUGGCAAGAACAUUAUUGGACACCGUGCCAUCAUCAACGUCCCAGGACAACGUGGUGGUAACAUAACCAUGUGUGCAGCUAUGACCCAAUAUGUCAUCAUAUGGGACAAUGUUAGUUUCCAUAGGGCUGCUUUGGUCCGCAACUGGUUUACAGACCACCCAUCCUUCAUGGCACUCAACCUCCCUCCAUACUCUCCAUUCUUGAAUCCCAUCGAGGAGUUCUUCUCUGCCUGGCGCUGGAAAGUGUACGACCGUCAUCUUCAUCAACAGGUAGCCCUUUUACAGGCAAUGGAGGAGGCAUGUGGAGAUAUUGACCAGGCAUCAUGUCAGGCCUGGAUACGGCAUUCAAGGAGAUAUUUUCCCCGGUGCCUUGGACUGGAGGAUGUCGCAUGCGAUGUGGACGAAAUUUUGUGGCCGGACCCAGAAAGACGACAUGAUGUAGGCUGAUUGUCUUUUUCUUUUUUUUUUCCUUUUUUUUUUUUUUGUGAAAUUCCUAUUUUGUGUUCUGACUUUGUCUUGGUUUUGAUGAGUGUGAAUAAACACCAAUACUUGAAGUUUGGAUCCUUGUAUGUUUACAUGACACUAUGACAAAAGUGUGACCUCAAAUUGAGAUGUGUUUUGUAUUCAUACCAUCAGUGUGCAGUUGGCGCAUUGUGUGCUUAGUAGAUGAUGGCUUGUGUGUACUGUUUGAUACGGAAACACCAUUUUUACGAAGGUGUGAAGAGUUAAUCUAGCUGUGUUUGCUUUUGCAAGAGAACUACAAUGUUUUGAUAAUUGGGUGACAGGUUUUCUUAUUUGUGUGUAGAGUUUUGCAAAAAUAGCCAAUAGUUACCAAAAAUGUGCUUAAGCAAUCAGAAAAAACUGUAAUACACUAUAACGUACCUGGUUGCCUCUCUGAUGGGUUAAUGAGCUUCAUCACCUUUAGGUCAUUGAAAUUCUGCUCUUCGUUCUUCCCUCCAAACACAUACAGCUGCCAAUCAAGUAGGCACAAAAAGAACACUUUAUUUCACAUCACAGUAAUAAUAAAAAAAAACCUCGAUAAUAAUAUAUUUUAUUUUUGCUGACAUGGCUGUGAAGGAUGAAGGCGGUGUGUCCAUGCCGACGUGUUGGAGGAAUCCCGACGUAGAGCGGGACCUUCCACUUCGUCUUCGCUGCAGACACACAGU
This is a long non-coding RNA of Astatotilapia calliptera (eastern happy), 1316 nucleotides long. The record is from Ensembl. NCBI's taxonomy places the organism in Eukaryota, Metazoa, Chordata, Actinopteri, Cichliformes, Cichlidae.